GACGUAGGGCGCGAGCGUUGUCCGGAUUUAUUGGGCGUAAAGAGCUCGUAGGCGGCUUGUCGCGUCGUCCGUAAAUACUUGGGGCUCAACCCCAAGCUUGCGGUCGAUACGGGCAGGCUAGAGUUCGGUAGGGGUGACUGGAAUUCCUGGUGUAGCGGUGAAAUGCGCAGAUAUCAGGAGGAACACCGGUGGCGAAGGCGGGUCUCUGGGCCGAUACUGACGCUGAGGAGCGAAAGCGUGGGGAGCGAACAGG
RNAcentral lists this ribosomal RNA (253 nucleotides) under uncultured bacterium. Its description in RNAcentral is "partial 16S ribosomal RNA". It matches the Rfam family "Bacterial small subunit ribosomal RNA", at positions 524 to 776 of the family's 1533-position model. The record is from RNAcentral.